This 496-nucleotide ribosomal RNA is filed under the name uncultured bacterium. RNAcentral's name for it is "partial 16S ribosomal RNA". It matches the Rfam family "Bacterial small subunit ribosomal RNA", at positions 29 to 507 of the family's 1533-position model. The record is from RNAcentral.
AUGAACGCUGGCGGCGUGCCUAAUACCUGCAAGUCGAGCGAACGGACGAGAAGCUUGCUUCUCUGAUGUUAGCGGCGGACGGGUGAGUAACACGUGGAUAACCUACCUAUAAGACUGGGAUAACUUCGGGAAACCGGAGCUAAUACCGGAUAAUAUUUUGAACCGCAUGGUUCAAAAGCGAAAGACGGUCUUGCUGUCACUUAUAGAUGGAUCCGCGCUGCAUUAGCUAGUUGGUAAGGUAACGGCUUACCAAGGCAACGAUGCAUAGCCGACCUGAGAGGGUGAUCGGCCACACUGGAACUGAGACACGGUCCAGACUCCUACGGGAGGCAGCAGUAGGGAAUCUUCCGCAAUGGGCGAAAGCCUGACGGAGCAACGCCGCGUGAGUGAUGAAGGUCUUCGGAUCGUAAAACUCUGUUAUUAGGGAAGAACAUAUGUGUAAGUAACUGUGCACAUCUUGACGGUACCUAAUCAGAAAGCCACGGCUAACUACGUG